UACGGAGGAUCCGAGCGUUAUCCGGAUUUAUUGGGUUUAAAGGGAGCGUAGGUGGACUGGUAAGUCAGUUGUGAAAGUUUGCGGCUCAACCGUAAAAUUGCAGUUGAUACUGUCAGUCUUGAGUACAGUAGAGGUGGGCGGAAUUCGUGGUGUAGCGGUGAAAUGCUUAGAUAUCACGAAGAACUCCGAUUGCGAAGGCAGCUCACUGGACUGCAACUGACGCUGAUGCUCGAAAGUGUGGGUAUCAAACAGGAUUAGAUACCCUGGUAGUCAAGGGCG
This 279-nucleotide ribosomal RNA is filed under the name uncultured Bacteroidales bacterium. RNAcentral describes it as "partial 16S ribosomal RNA". It matches the Rfam family "Bacterial small subunit ribosomal RNA", at positions 524 to 802 of the family's 1533-position model. Lineage: Bacteria; Pseudomonadati; Bacteroidota; Bacteroidia; Bacteroidales. The record is from RNAcentral.